UGUUUGAUGGUGUAGCUAUUAAUCUAAAGAUAUCAGUGGUUAAUCUGUCAACUGGUGAAAUAGGACCAGCAAAACUAGUGAGAGUUGAGAAAAGUUGGACUGUUGAAGAAUUAAAACAACAUAUAGGAGAAUUAUAUCGUCUCAAUUCAUCAUGCAUUAGAUUAGUAGUGAAGAAUGAUCAUGAUGAUGUUACUGAUAUUAGUGAUGUAGGAUGUACUUUAACUUUAGACAAGAUAUUCAGAAAGUCAACAUACUUAGACAGACAAUUAGUGUAUGUAUCAUCAGAUCCUGG
This 292-nucleotide long non-coding RNA is filed under the name Amphimedon queenslandica. Its description in RNAcentral is "uncharacterized LOC109589758, transcript variant X2". Lineage: Eukaryota; Metazoa; Porifera; Demospongiae; Haplosclerida; Niphatidae. The record is from RNAcentral.